AGAUUAAGUUAUUAAGGGCGCACGGUGGAUGCCUUGGCACUAGAAGCCGAUGAAGGACGUUACUAACGACGAUAUGCUUUGGGUAGCUGUAAGUAAGCGUUGAUCCAGAGAUUUCCGAAUGGGGGAACCCAGCAUGAGUUAUGUCAUGUUAUCGACAUGUGAAUUCAUAGCAUGUCAGAAGGCAGACCCGGAGAACUGAAACAUCUUAGUACCCGGAGGAAGAGAAAGAAAAAUCGAUUCCCUGAGUAGCGGCGAGCGAAACGGGAAGAGCCCAAACCAACAAGCUUGCUUGUUGGGGUUGUAGGACACUCUAUACGGAGUUACAAAAGAACAUGUUAGACGAAUCAUCUGGAAAGAUGAAUCAAAGAAGGUAAUAAUCCUGUAGUCGAAAACAUAUUCUCUCUUGAGUGGAUCCUGAGUACGACGGAGCACGUGAAAUUCCGUCGGAAUCUGGGAGGACCAUCUCCUAAGGCUAAAUACUCUCUAGUGACCGAUAGUGAACCAGUACCGUGAGGGAAAGGUGAAAAGUACCCCGGAAGGGGAGUGAAAGAGAACUUGAAACCGUGUGCUUACAAGUAGUCAGAGCCCGUUAAUGGGUGAUGGCGUGCCUUUUGUAGAAUGAACCGGCGAGUUACGAUCUGAUGCAAGGUUAAGCAGCAAAUGUGGAGCCGCAGCGAAAGCGAGUCUGAAUAGGGCGUUGAGUAUUUGGUCGUAGACCCGAAACCAGGUGAUCUACCCUUGGUCAGGUUGAAGUUCAGGUAACACUGAAUGGAGGACCGAACCGACUUACGUUGAAAAGUGAGCGGAUGAACUGAGGGUAGCGGAGAAAUUCCAAUCGAACUUGGAGAUAGCUGGUUCUC
This 860-nucleotide ribosomal RNA is filed under the name Staphylococcus epidermidis. RNAcentral describes it as "partial 23S ribosomal RNA". It matches the Rfam family "Bacterial large subunit ribosomal RNA", at positions 1 to 857 of the family's 2925-position model. The record is from RNAcentral. Lineage: Bacteria; Bacillati; Bacillota; Bacilli; Caryophanales; Staphylococcaceae.